RNAcentral lists this long non-coding RNA (1114 nucleotides) under Portunus trituberculatus (swimming crab). Its description in RNAcentral is "uncharacterized LOC123511321". Lineage: Eukaryota; Metazoa; Arthropoda; Malacostraca; Decapoda; Portunidae. The record is from RNAcentral.
UUCUGUUUGUCUUUGCCCACCCGCCGCCCGCCAAUACAAGUAUCAGACGAACUGUGUUACUGGAUGAGUGGAACGCAGCUGACCAGAUCUUACAUCAUUUUUUCGUGUACAGCGCCCACUGCAACAAUGACUGAAAUAAGGAAGGACCUACCAAAACACCAUGUUUAAUACGUUUUGGGGAAUCCAGACUGUAUGCAAGCAGACACAUGCUGUCUAUUGAUGGUGUUAUUUUCAACGAGGACAUUGCCACAUUUGCUGCUGGUCUUGCUAUGCUGUUUGCAAGCUACUACAACUUGAACAUCAUGUACCCUGCAGAAUGUGCAUCUACACUGAAAUUCAUUCAAAGGUGUUUUGUCCGCAUCAACCCUGACAGGUGUAGCAAAGUGGAGAUUAAGAAGAAUUCCAAGAGGUAUUCUCAAAUUCAUCCCAAAGUUCUGAGUUUGAUUAAUGCCCUUGCUGAUGUGGAUUGGAGGAGUUAAGGCCACAAAAGUGUGGUUAUAUGGUUUUGAAAGUUUUGUUUAAUUUUUUGGUUGUGAUUAUUAUUUCAGUUAUGAAAUUUAAAGGAAUAUUUUGAAAGCUGUUCUUAGGAAUUUUUGUCUCAUGGAAGUUACUCUUUUUAAUUUCAUGUGUUGACGAGAUUAAUUUCUUUUCAAAAUCUUCAUAAGGAAGUACGUACUAGAAGUUUCUCAGCAGUUGAUGUCAUGGAGGCUUAGCGUUUUAAAACGUCAUAUUUUUGCACAUUCACUGCAGUUCUCUUUACAUUUAGGUGAGAUGUUUCACCACAUUUAAUAUGGAGCAUUUUGUACUUUUAUAUAAUCUGUGAUGUUAACAUUUCAUACUCAGGAAAGAUCUGAUCUGUUUCUGCGUAAGUGGAUUUUUAAUAGUUGCCGUCAUGGGAGAAAUCUCAGCAAAAUGGCUUUUGAACCUUAAAAAUAAAGUAUUACUUAUCAGUUGCCUUGUAUAAUUGUUACUUUAGAAGAGGAGGUUUUUGCAGAAUUUAAUGAUGUUACAUUGUUAUAUUUUUGUACAGUAUUUUACUUGAAUUUCUUAAAGAACUGGCCAGCAAUAAUAUUCAUAAGGAUAUUCUAAUACUUUUAUAGAGUUGUUUACAGGU